AUUAAACGCUGGCGGCAUGCCUUACACAUGCAAGUCGAACGGCAGCACGGGGGGAACCCUGGUGGCGAGUGGCGAACGGGUGAGUAAAGCAUCGGAACGUGCCCUGGAGUGGGGGAUAACGUAGCGAAAGUUACGCUAAUACCGCAUAUUCUGUGAGCAGGAAAGCAGGGGAUCGCAAGACCUUGCGCUCUGGGAGCGGCCGAUGUCGGAUUAGCUAGUUGGUGGGGUAAAGGCCUACCAAGGCGACGAUCCGUAGCGGGUCUGAGAGGAUGAUCCGCCACACUGGGACUGAGACACGGCCCAGACUCCUACGGGAGGCAGCAGUGGGAAUUUUGGACAAUGGGCGAAAGCCUGAUCCAGCCAUGCCGCGUGAGUGAAGAAGGCCUCGGUUGUAAGACUCUUCGU
RNAcentral lists this ribosomal RNA (405 nucleotides) under uncultured bacterium. Its description in RNAcentral is "bacterial SSU rRNA". It matches the Rfam family "Bacterial small subunit ribosomal RNA", at positions 29 to 438 of the family's 1533-position model. The record is from RNAcentral.